AGAGUUUGAUCCUGGCUCAGAUUGAACGCUGGCGGCAUGCCUUACACAUGCAAGUCGAACGGCAGCGGGGGAGCUUGCUCCUGCCGGCGAGUGGCGAACGGGUGAGUAAUGCAUCGGAACGUGUCCUGUUGUGGGGGAUAACUGAUCGAAAGAUCAGCUAAUACCGCAUGAGACCUGAGGGUGAAAGCGGGGGAUCGCAAGACCUCGCGCGACAGGAGCGGCCGAUGUCUGAUUAGCUAGUUGGUGAGAUAAAAGCUUACCAAGGCGACGAUCAGUAGCUGGUCUGAGAGGAUGAUCAGCCACAUUGGGACUGAGACACGGCCCAGACUCCUACGGGAGGCAGCAGUGGGGAAUUUUGGACAAUGGGGGAAACCCUGAUCCAGCCAUGCCGCGUGCGGGAUGAAGGCCUUCGGGUUGUAAACCGCUUUUGUCAGAGACGAAAAGGGACGUACGAAUAAUACGUUCCGCUGACGGUAUCUGAAGAAUAAGCACCGGCUAACUACGUGCCAGCAGCCGCGGUAAUACGUAGGGUGCAAGCGUUAAUCGGAAUUACUGGGCGUAAAGGGUGCGCAGGCGGCUGUGCAAGACAGAUGUGAAAUCCCCGGGCUUAACCUGGGAACUGCAUUUGUGACUGCACGGCUAGAGUUUGUCAGAGGAGGGUGGAAUUCCGCGUGUAGCAGUGAAAUGCGUAGAUAUGCGGAAGAACACCAAUGGCGAAGGCAGCCCUCUGGGACAUGACUGACGCUCAUGCACGAAAGCGUGGGGAGCAAACAGGAUUAGAUACCCUGGUAGUCCACGCCCUAAACGAUGUCAGCUGAUUGUUCGGAAAGCAAUUUCUGGGUAACCAAGCCAACGCGUGAAGCUGACCGCCUGGGAAGUACGGUCGCAAGAUUAAAACUCAAAGGAAUUGACGGGGACCCGCACAAGCGGUGGAUGAUGUGGAUUAAUUCGACGCAACGCGAAAAACCUUACCUAGCCUUGACAUGUCAGGAAUCCGGAUGAAAGUCUGGAGUGCCCGCAAGGGAGCCUGAACACAGGUGCUGCAUGGCUGUCGUCAGCUCGUGUCGUGAGAUG
RNAcentral lists this ribosomal RNA (1074 nucleotides) under human gut metagenome. Its description in RNAcentral is "bacterial SSU rRNA". It matches the Rfam family "Bacterial small subunit ribosomal RNA", at positions 8 to 1074 of the family's 1533-position model. The record is from RNAcentral.